UUUAAUUGAAGAGUUUGAUCAUGGCUCAGAUUGAACGCUGGCGGCAGGCCUAACACAUGCAAGUCGAGCGGCAGCACAAGGGAGUUUACUCCUGAGGUGGCGAGCGGCGGACGGGUGAGUA
RNAcentral lists this ribosomal RNA (121 nucleotides) under Shewanella sp. BC20. RNAcentral describes it as "partial 16S ribosomal RNA". It matches the Rfam family "Bacterial small subunit ribosomal RNA", at positions 1 to 112 of the family's 1533-position model. Lineage: Bacteria; Pseudomonadati; Pseudomonadota; Gammaproteobacteria; Alteromonadales; Shewanellaceae. The record is from RNAcentral.